GCACUAGUGGCUUAGUAGUACAAUAGUACUCUACCACAGUAUAGACCAGGCUUCAAUUCCUAGCUAGUGCA
Lupinus angustifolius (narrow-leaved blue lupine) is the source of this 71-nucleotide transfer RNA. It matches the Rfam family "tRNA". From Rfam's summary of the family: Transfer RNA (tRNA) molecules are approximately 80 nucleotides in length. The record is from Rfam. Lineage: Eukaryota; Viridiplantae; Streptophyta; Magnoliopsida; Fabales; Fabaceae.